CCUACGGGAGGCAGCAGUAGGGAAUAUUGCUCAAUGGGGGAAACCCUGAAGCAGCAACGCCGCGUGGAGGAUGAAGGUUUUCGGAUUGUAAACUCCUUUUGUUAGAGGAGUUAAUGACGGUAUCUAACGGAUAAGCACCGUCUAAUUCCGUGACAGCAGCCGCGGUAAUACGGAGGGUGCAAGCGUUACUCGGAAUCACUGGGCGUAAAGAGCGCGUAGGCGGGAUAACAAGUCAGAUGUGAAAUACUAUGGCUUAACCAUAGAACUGCAUUUAAAACUGUUAUUCUAGAGUAUGGGAGGGGUAGGUGGAAUGCUUGGUGUAGCGGUAAAAUGCGUAGAGAUCAAAAGGAAUACUGAUUGCGAAGGCGACCUACUAGAACAUAACUGACGCUGAUGCGCGAAAGCGUGGGGAGCAAACAGGAUUAGAUACCCUUGUAGUC
RNAcentral lists this ribosomal RNA (440 nucleotides) under uncultured bacterium. RNAcentral's name for it is "partial 16S ribosomal RNA". It matches the Rfam family "Bacterial small subunit ribosomal RNA", at positions 338 to 795 of the family's 1533-position model. The record is from RNAcentral.